CAAGACCUGCGCUUUUGGAGCGGCCGAUGCCUGAUUAGCUUGUUGGUAAGGUAAAAGCUUACCAAGGCUUCGAUCAGUAGCUGGUCUGAGAGGACGACCAGCCACACUGGGACUGAGACACGGCCCAGACUCCUACGGGAGGCAGCAGUGGGGAAUUUUGGACAAUGGGGGCAACCCUGAUCCAGCCAUGCCGCGUGAGUGAAGAAGGCCUUCGGGUUGUAAAGCUCUUUCAGCCGGAACGAAACGGUUACGGUUAAUACCCGUGACUACUGACGGUACCGGAAGAAGAAGCACCGGCUAACUACGUGCCAGCAGCCGCGGUAAUACGUAGGGUGCGAGCGUUAAUCGGAAUUACUGGGCGUAAGGCGUGCGCAGGUGGUUUUGUAAGUCAGAUGUGAAAGCCCCGGGCUCAACCUGGGAACU
RNAcentral lists this ribosomal RNA (423 nucleotides) under uncultured bacterium. RNAcentral describes it as "bacterial SSU rRNA". It matches the Rfam family "Bacterial small subunit ribosomal RNA", at positions 207 to 622 of the family's 1533-position model. The record is from RNAcentral.